RNAcentral lists this ribosomal RNA (490 nucleotides) under uncultured bacterium. RNAcentral's name for it is "partial 16S ribosomal RNA". It matches the Rfam family "Bacterial small subunit ribosomal RNA", at positions 30 to 507 of the family's 1533-position model. The record is from RNAcentral.
AUUGAACGCUGGCGGCAGGCCUAACACAUGCAAGUCGAACGGUAACAGGAAGAAGCUUGCUUCUUUGCUGACGAGUGGCGGACGGGUGAGUAAUGUCUGGGAAACUGCCUGAUGGAGGGGGAUAACUACUGGAAACGGUAGCUAAUACCGCAUAACGUCGCAAGACCAAAGAGGGGGACCUUCGGGCCUCUUGCCAUCGGAUGUGCCCAGAUGGGAUUAGCUAGUAGGUGGGGUAACGGCUCACCUAGGCGACGAUCCGUAGCUGGUCUGAGAGGAUGACCAGCCACACUGGAACUGAGACACGGUCCAGACUCCUACGGGAGGCAGCAGUGGGGAAUAUUGCACAGUGGGCGCAAGCCUGAUGCAGCCAUGCCGCGUGUAUGAAGAAGGCCUUCGGGUUGUAAAGUACUUUCAGCGGGGAGGAAGGGAGUAAAGUUAAUACCUUGGCUGAUUGACGUUACCCGCAGAAGAAGCACCGGCUAACUCCGUG